Molecule: unclassified non-coding RNA, 402 nt
Filed under: soil metagenome
Description: partial contains 5.8S ribosomal RNA, internal transcribed spacer 2, and large subunit ribosomal RNA
Rfam family: 5.8S ribosomal RNA (bases 1-121)
Source: RNAcentral
GAUGAAGAACGCAGCGAAAUGCGAUAAGUAAUGUGAAUUGCAGAAUUCAGUGAAUCAUCGAAUCUUUGAACGCACCUUGCACCCUUUGGCUAUUCCGAAGGGUAUGCCUGUUUGAGUAUCAUGAACACCUCAACUCUCAUGGUUUGCCAUGAUGAGCUUGGACUUUGGGGGUCUUGCUGGCCUGUGGUCAGCUCCUCUCGAAUGGAUUAGCUUGCCAGUGUUUGGUGGCAUCACAGGUGUGAUAACUAUCUACGCUUGUGGUUUUCCACCAGGUAACCUUCAGCAAUGGGGGUUCGCUGGGGCUCAUAAAUGUCUCUCCUCAGUGAGGACAGCUCUUUGAACGUUUGAUCUCAAAUCAGGUAGGACUACCCGCUGAACUUAAGCAUAUCAAUAAGCGGAGGA